RNAcentral lists this ribosomal RNA (324 nucleotides) under uncultured eukaryote. Its description in RNAcentral is "partial 18S ribosomal RNA". It matches the Rfam family "Eukaryotic small subunit ribosomal RNA", at positions 1470 to 1796 of the family's 1831-position model. The record is from RNAcentral.
CCCUUAGAUGUUCUGGGCUGCACGCGCGCUACACUGAAGCUAUCAACACGUUUUCCCUCCCUGAGAAGGGCGGGUAACCUUUUGAAUCAGCUUCGUGGUAGGGAUCGGGGCUUGCAAUUGUUCCCCGUGAACCAGGAAUUCCUAGUAGACGCGAGUCAUAAGCUCGCAUCGAUUAAGUCCCUGCCUUUUGUACACACCGCCCGUCGCUACCACCGAUUGAACGUUUUAGUGAGGCAUUUGGACCGACGCAUCUCAGUUUAACCGCUGGUUUGUGUUGGAAAGACUUCCAAACUUGAGCGUUUAGAGGAAGUAAAAGUCGUAACA